GUGGGGAAUCUUCCGCAAUGGACGAAAGUCUGACGGAGCAACGCCGCGUGAGUGAUGAAGGUCUUCGGAUUGUAAAGCUCUGUUAAUCGGGACGAAAGAGCCUAGUGUGAAUAAUGCUAGGAAGUGACGGUACCGGAAUAGAAAGCCACGGCUAACUACGUGCCAGCAGCCGCGGUAAUACGUAGGUGGCAAGCGUUGUCCGGAAUUAUUGGGCGUAAAGCGCGCGCAGGCGGAUCUGCCAGUCUGUCUUAAAAGUUCGGGGCUUAACCCCGUGAUGGGAUGGAAACUACAGAUCUAGAGUAUAGGAGAGGAAAGUGGAAUUCCUAGUGUAGCGGUGAAAUGCGUAGAUAUUAGGAAGAACACCAGUGGCGAAGGCGACUUUCUGGACGAAAACUGACGCUGAGGCGCGAAAGCCAGGGGAGCGAACGGGAUUAGAUACCCGUGUAGUCC
RNAcentral lists this ribosomal RNA (450 nucleotides) under uncultured bacterium. RNAcentral's name for it is "partial 16S ribosomal RNA". It matches the Rfam family "Bacterial small subunit ribosomal RNA", at positions 354 to 796 of the family's 1533-position model. The record is from RNAcentral.